Danio rerio (zebrafish) is the source of this 115-nucleotide ribosomal RNA. The record is from Ensembl. Lineage: Eukaryota; Metazoa; Chordata; Actinopteri; Cypriniformes; Danionidae.
UGCCACAGCCAUAUCACCCUGCAGCCCAAGACUGGUUUCUCAUUAUAGCUAAGCAGGGCUGAGCCUGGUCAGUACCUAGGUGAGACCACAUGAGAAAACUAGGUUGCUGUUGGAA